Ochotona curzoniae (black-lipped pika) is the source of this 314-nucleotide long non-coding RNA. RefSeq lists it as uncharacterized. The transcript has 3 exons. The record is from RefSeq and is a predicted model, not a curated record. Lineage: Eukaryota; Metazoa; Chordata; Mammalia; Lagomorpha; Ochotonidae.
GCUCCUGCCAAGGAUCCUGGGCUCUCUCAAGGUCAGAGGACACAAAUGAGUCUGUUAGACUGGUUGAAGCUACAAGGAGCUGACGCAGGCAUCAUUGAAAAGAUCGUUGAGGAAGGCUACCUGCUGUCUGCAAUUCCUAGUGACAUCACUAAGGAGAAUCUGAGCCAUCACCACCUGUGGGGUGGCCUCCUCUGCCAGUUCUGGAAUGCCCUCUCCUGGGAUGGAAGCAGGCUUGGUGGGCCUCACUAAACCACCAGUAGGCCCAUGGUGACGUCGGAUUUGUCUGUUAUGUGCACACAAUACAUUAGCAAGAU